Long non-coding RNA from Alligator sinensis (Chinese alligator), 1828 nucleotides. RefSeq lists it as uncharacterized. The transcript has 4 exons. NCBI's taxonomy places the organism in Eukaryota, Metazoa, Chordata, Crocodylia, Alligatoridae. The record is from RefSeq and is a predicted model, not a curated record.
UUUAAUCGUUCAAGGGAGGCAGAUGGAAUUUAAGGACUCCAUUCCAGUAUUCCCAACAACUGUCAUGCGUGAGGCUGUAGCAGAGAAGUUCACCUGACACGGUUGUGUGAUGAAUGGGACUGGUGAAGGGAAGGACUUGCUCAGGGGCCCCUCUUCCUCAUGACCUGCCAUCAAGAUCCCACCUUUUAACAUCCAGAGCCUUUUCCAUAAAAUUACUCAUGGAAGCAGCAGAAGUGCUCCUGGAGGGAGAUGUGGCAUGUCUAUUUCCCAUCUCCCUCUGUUCCCUGCUCCCAAGUUCCAAUUCCAGAAAAAAAAUGCAGAAGGUUCAGCUGGUGUUGAAAGAGACUGGAAGAAAGAUCAGAAUCUGGGGAGCCAGAAGAAAUCACAUACGUAGUCCUUCUUAAGAAAUUGGUUAACUGGAAGAAAAGGAUUGAGAUGGACAUUGGUCUGAAGUCAUCAGAACUACUUGUACACUUGACUUGCAGAACCUUGAGCAUCUGCUAUCUCUCAGCAAAGAAGUGACAAUAUAGAAAUAGGCUAAUUUUACAUUCUGUCUCAUAUGUUGCACAUAAAUACCUAAGCAGGGAAGAACUGAGGUGCUGGGGCAAGUCUAAUGUAAAAUUUCUGGAAUCUUAGAAUGAUAAUAUUACUAUAGUAGCACUAAUAUAAAUGAAUGUAUGGCACAGAUGUCACACUUGCAAAUCAGUCAAUAUGCUCAAAUUAUCAAGCUCCAUCACUAGUUAGAUCUAAUGGUUACUGAUAAUGCAAAUGAGAAACAUGAUCUGAUAAGGCCAAAACAUACAUUUUUAACUAUACAUAUGAGUCCAGAUUUGAAUAAAGAAUUAAAUUUGACUACAGAAACAAGUAAAAUUUCUAGUUUAGAACUAAAGCUAUAUUUAACCAGUGUGCAAUUAUUUAAGUAUGUUGUUUUGGCCUGCUAGUUCCAGUACCUGUUCCUAAAGUGAUUGGUAAUAGCACCAAUCAAACAGGACAAAAUAUGCAUUUGUGACCUUUUUUAUCCACAAUAUAAAACUGAAAUUUUGAAGAUAUCUGAACCAUCAAGUUAAAAAUGCUAUCCAUGCAUAUUCAGUUGCUGCUACUUAUAAAUGGUCUGCUGCUAGACACAUCCAUAGCAGUUUUUUCCUUCUUAUUCAGUACUACUACCUGAAGUUGUAAUUGUCUUAAUACCUAAAAUGUGCCAUCAUGAAACCCCAUGAGAUUGACAAAAAUCAUCUCUUUUCAUGACUUUUGGCCAUGAGAAGGUUGCACAUACUGUUGUGAUGAUGCAUAAGACGGCAGGAGGCCUAACUAGUAUGUCAAGUUGUAUUUUAGUGAUGGUAUGGACUGACAUUAUGGCAAAAUGCAUAGCCCCACUUUUUUGACCAUUUAACCUGAUCAACUGCAGGAACCCUUCAGUUUCUGAAUUGCAGCUUACUAGUACUUCUGUAAUUCUCCAGUGGCAGAAAAACAUUUAUUACUAGUAGAAAUACAUUAGCAGAUGCAUUAAUUCAUAUCCAUAAUCACUUCUUAUAUCCCUGAAGAUAAGAGUCUUGGUGUAAAUACAUGAAGUUCCAUCAGUGGAACUUCAUUGCUUUACACCCUCUGAAAAUCUUUACUUCUGGACACUUCCUGACAAAAAUUGCUCAUGCAUACUCAUUAUUGUAUCAGCUGUCAAUACAGCUGCAUUAAUUCACACCAUCUGAGAAUCUGGCCCCAUAAAUUCAGGCUACAUAAUUCUACAAAGGAUUUACAGUGUGGAAUAAAUUGUCAAAAUAAGGCAGACACAUUAACUCCAUUAUCUAUGUAAUUACUGUACAAUAAAGUGACG